Molecule: long non-coding RNA, 2996 nt
Filed under: Homo sapiens (human)
Lineage: Eukaryota; Metazoa; Chordata; Mammalia; Primates; Hominidae
Description: HSALNT0204878
Source: RNAcentral
UGCUGUGAAGGGGGUGGAGCAAGGGAAAGCAAAAAUAUCACAAGUAUUUUUAUUUCUUAUAUCAGCUAUGUUUUUCUUGAGUCAGCAUUUGCUUUGUUGCUUUGUUGCUUCAUUUCUUGCUGUAAAUCUGGAACUAUUUUUUAAAAUUCUAAUGAAGUUGCAUCUGACUGGUUAUACUUAUUUUUCAGUGUUUUUGUGGAGAGAUGAUAGUUAAAUCUGGCCAUUCCAUUUUGCUGAGGUCAUCCUAUCUCUAAAUAUGCCUCCCUAAUCCUAAUACAGGAGAUUGCAAGAGGACAACUCGGCUCUAAAAUCGAUGCAUUAACAUGUCAUUGGAAUUGACCUUGCCAAAAGAUGCCUCCCUAAAUCCACAAGAAUCUCCUUGUUUGAACACAGUUUCUAAUCCAGCUGUAAUGAAGACAGACAACAGUCAAAUUAACAACUGAUCAGGAGGAGAAGUUCAUACUCCUUGAGCUGGAUCUAUCUGCACAUGCACCUGGCCCAGGAAGCUGAAAUGGGAGAUCUGAUGAGCAGUGGAGGACUGAACCAAAGCCCUUGGCUUUUGCUCCAUACCAGUCAGAGUCUCAUCAGGAUAUCAUGUUGCAUUGAGUAGUCAUGUCUCCACAGGCUUUUCUUGGCUGCGACUCUUACUCACGUUUUCCUUGGUUUUGCCCACCUUACAGUUUACAGUAGUGGUCAGGUAUUUUGUAGUAUGUCCCUCACUUGGGCUUUGCUUGAUGCUUAUCUCCUGAGAAAACUAGGGAUAUGUAUUUUGGGGAGGAAGGCCACAGAGAUGAAGUGACAUUCUUUUCACAUCAUAUCAAUGCUACAUACUAUCAAAAGGGCUUAUCACUGUUGAUGUUAAUUUUAAUCACCUGGCUAAGAUAUUCUUUUUCAGGAUUUUGACUUUAAAGUUACCCUUUAUGCUUUUCCUUCUCAUAAAGUGCUCUUUGAAAUGAAGUCACUCUGUGCAGCAGACAUUUAAAAAGCAGGAAAUUAUGGUGACAGAGUAUCUGUAUAAAUUAUUUGCAGUUCUUUUAUUUUCAGAGUUUGGAAUUAUAGCACUCCUAUAAAUCUUAUUACUAAUGGUGCCACAAAUUGUGUACUACUGAUAUGUAUUAGUGCACAACUUAAAGCAUGUGGACAUGAGCUGUAUUUGAAAAAACAUUCAGAUGGAAGAGCUACCUGAUUUGAAGUGAAUCUUAAUUGGAACUUAAUGAUGCCUCCUAGUAAUUUACUAUUUUAGCUGAACCUACAGUAUCAGCUGUAGCCCAGAAAAUAUAAGAGCUACAAUUCGUACAAUUCAACAUCAGCUGCCAAGGCCCACCUGGACUGCACCUGCAAAACCAGCUGUGGUUUCUUUGCUCUCACAAUUCAUGUCAGUGUUUUUCAGCCAAUGCAUCACUGGUUUCGAAUUUUAUACUGUUCCUCUCUCAGUCCUCCACCCCUCUAGUUUCUAAAUGAUAGAGAAUAAUUAGGUGAGGUUUAAACUCUCAGGAUUAUUCAGGGUUUGUGGAGAGUAGGAAGGUUUCUUCCAGGUUACAGCACAAUUUAAGGAGCCUGGCAAGAAGCAUCCAAUAUUAGCAAGUAGAAAAGCAGCAUAAGUAUGAGGUUGGAACUUCCCACGAUACUUAGUACAUGGAAAAAAAUGUAGAACAUACCAAAAAAAAAGCAAAUUGUAAAAAAAUUUCACAAAUAAAAAUACUGUUAUGAAAAUUAUAAUUCACAUUUUUAAUAUUUUUUAUUGUAAAAUGUAUAAAAUUUGCCAUUUAACCUCUUAAGUGUACAAUUCAGUGGCAUUAAUUGUAUUUACAGUUUUGUGCAACAAUCACCACUAUUUUCAAAAAUUUUCAUCAAUCCAAACAGAAACUCUGGCAAUUAGUAACAACUCCCCAUUUUUUAUUCCUAAUCCAUCCCCUAGUAAACUCUAAAUCUUGUCUCUGUGAAUCUCCCUGUUCUAAAUAUUUGUAUAAGAGGAAUCAUACAACAUUGACCCUUUUGUGUCUGGCUAAUUUCACUUUGCAUAAUGUUUAAAAGCUUCAUCCAUAUAGUGACAUGUAUGAGAACUUCAUUUCUUUUUUAUGGCUCAAUUAUAUUCCACAGUAUGCACACACACCCCAUUUUGUUUAUCCAUUCAUCUGUUGAUAGACACACGUGGGUUAUUUCCUCCUUUUGGCUGUUAUGAAUAAUGCUGCUAUAAACACUAGUGUGCAUUUAUCUGAAUUCAUGUUUUACAUUCAUUGGGAUACCAAAUUAAAAUGCUGGGUCAUAUGGUAAUUCUGUUUAACAUUUUAAGGUAUCACCAAACUGUCUUCCACAGCAGCUGCAUCAUUUUAAAUGCAGACCAACAAAGUAUGAUUCUCCAAAUUUCCCAGUUACUCGUCAACUCUUGUUCUACAUUUUCUAACUAUAGUGAUACUAGUAGGUAUAACAUUAUGUCAUUGUGAUUUUGAUUUGCAAUGGCCUAAAAACUAAUGGUUUUUUAAUAACUUUCAUGUUGUACUCAUUGGCCAUUUGCAUAUCUUUAGCAAAAUGUCUAUUCAAAUCCUUUGCCUGUUUUUAAUUGGGUUGUUUUGUCUUUUUGUUGUAGAGUUGUAGUUUUUUAAUGUCUUGAUAUAAAUCUCUUACAAGAUACAUACUUCACAGUACAUUAUCUCAUUUUGUAAAUAAGUUAUUUCACUCUCUUAGUGAUGUUUUUAUUAUCUAAAGGUUUUAAUACUUUUUAAAACUUGUACUGUGAAUAUGAUAUGCCCUGUGAUUAACAAAUUUAUUUAUUACUUAAACAACUUAAUUUUUAAAAAUAAUUGCAUGAAUAUUUUUGUCCUAUUUGUUCCAUUCCUACUUCGUGAACACCAAUUAUCUGUUUGACAGAUUGUCAUUUUCCAUGCUUCAUACAAAUUCUUUUUUCUUCUGCAUUUUUUUCUUUCCAAUCUUUGUGAAUGUAUUUAAUUUUCUUGCCUUGAUAUUCUGACUAGAACCUCCAGUAUAAUUUAUUUAUU